GACGAACGCUGGCGGCGUGCUUAACACAUGCAAGUCGAACGGAAAGGCCCUGCUUUUGUGGGGUGCUCGAGUGGCGAACGGGUGAGUAACACGUGAGUAACCUGCCCCUGACUUUGGGAUAACUUCAGGAAACUGGGGCUAAUACCGGAUAGGAGCUCCUGCUGCAUGGUGGGGGUUGGAAAGUUUCGGCGGUGGGGGCUGGACUCGCGGCUUAUCAGCUUGUUGGUGGGGUAGUGGCUUACCAAGGCUUUGACGGGUAGCCGGCCUGAGAGGGUGACCGGCCACCUGGGGCCUGAGGUACGGCCCAGACUCCUACGGGAGGCAGCAGUGGGGAGUAUUGCGCAAUGGGCGGGAGCCUGAUGCAGCAGCGCCGCGUGCGGGAUGACGGCCUUCGGGUUGUGAACCGCUUUCGCAUGUGACGAAGCGUGAGUGACGGUACUGGGUCAAGAAGCACCGGCUAACUACGUG
Molecule: ribosomal RNA, 468 nt
Filed under: uncultured bacterium
Lineage: Bacteria
Description: partial 16S ribosomal RNA
Rfam family: Bacterial small subunit ribosomal RNA
Source: RNAcentral